CUGCGGAAGGAUCAUUGUCGA
This 21-nucleotide ribosomal RNA is filed under the name Artemisia sp. haplotype-I (ZK-1016). RNAcentral describes it as "partial 18S ribosomal RNA". Lineage: Eukaryota; Viridiplantae; Streptophyta; Magnoliopsida; Asterales; Asteraceae. The record is from RNAcentral.